Molecule: ribosomal RNA, 1493 nt
Filed under: Bacillus sp. OCOB6
Lineage: Bacteria; Bacillati; Bacillota; Bacilli; Caryophanales; Bacillaceae
Description: bacterial SSU rRNA
Rfam family: Bacterial small subunit ribosomal RNA
Source: RNAcentral
GCUUUUUUUUUUUUUUUUUUUUUGGCGUUUUUGUAUUGUUUUUCCCCCCCAACAAGACCGGGCUUACAAGAGGAGGGAAAGGGUCUCUCUGGUUUGGGGGGAGGGGAUUAACCGGGGUACCCCCCUUAAGAGGUGGAACUCCGGGAACCGGGAUUUAUCCGGUUUUUCCCUACCCCCUUGUUAAAGGAAAAAGCGGUUUUGGUUUUAUAUAAGAGAGGCCCCGGGGCCAUUAUUUGGUGGGGGGAAUAUGCCUCCACAGGGGAAUUUUGUUACCCCCCUGGAGAGGUGUUCGCCCCCAGGGGGAUGAAACCGGCCCCAAAUUCCUAGGGGAGGCACCAGUAGGAAUUCUCCCCAAUGGAAGAAAUUUUGACGGAACAACGCCGCGUGAGUGAGAAAGUUUUCGGAUCGUAAAGCUCUGUUGUUAGGGAGAACAAGUGCGAGAGUACUGCUCGCACCUUGACGGUACCUAACCAGAAAAGCCACGGCUAACUACGUGCCAGCAGCCGCGGUAAUACGUAGGUGGCAAGCGUUGUCCGGAAUUAUUGGGCGUAAAGGGCUCGCAGGCGGUUUCUUAAGUCUGAUGUGAAAGCCCCCGGGUUCAACCGGGGGAGGGUCAUUGGAAACUGGGAAACUUGAGUGCAGAAGAGGAGAGUGGAAUUCCACGGUGUAGCGGUGAAAUGCGUAGAGAUGUGGAGGAACACCAGUGGCGAAGGCGACUCUCUGGUCUGUAACUGACGCUGAGGAGCGAAAGCGUGGGGAGCGAACAGGAUUAGAUACCCUGGUAGUCCACGCCGUAAACGAUGAGUGCUAAGUGUUAGGGGGUUUCCGCCCCUUAGUGCUGCAGCUAACGCAUUAAGCACUCCGCCUGGGGAGUACGGUCGCAAGACUGAAACUCAAAGGAAUUGACGGGGGCCCGCACAAGCGGUGGAGCAUGUGGUUUAAUUCGAAGCAACGCGAAGAACCUUACCAGGUCUUGACAUCCUCUGACAACCCUAGAGAUAGGGCUUUCCCUUCGGGGACAGAGUGACAGGUGGUGCAUGGUUGUCGUCAGCUCGUGUCGUGAGAUGUUGGGUUAAGUCCCGCAACGAGCGCAACCCUUGAUCUUAGUUGCCAGCAUUCAGUUGGGCACUCUAAGGUGACUGCCGGUGACAAACCGGAGGAAGGUGGGGAUGACGUCAAAUCAUCAUGCCCCUUAUGACCUGGGCUACACACGUGCUACAAUGGACAGAACAAAGGGCUGCAAGACCGCAAGGUUUAGCCAAUCCCAUAAAUCUGUUCUCAGUUCGGAUCGCAGUCUGCAACUCGACUGCGUGAAGCUGGAAUCGCUAGUAAUCGCGGAUCAGCAUGCCGCGGUGAAUACGUUCCCGGGCCUUGUACACACCGCCCGUCACACCACGAGAGUUUGCAACACCCGAAGUCGGUGAGGUAACCUUUAUGGAGCCAGCCGCCGAAGGUGGGGCAGAUGAUUGGGGGAAGUCGAAACAAAGUGCCCC